AUGAAGAACUCACUUAUAUUCAGUCUUUGUCUGAAUUUCACUGCCAGUUCUAAUAAGAGUUUACUUGUUGACAUUUUAGGUUUAAAAAGCCCAACAAGCUGGGUGAAUGAAUUCAGAGGUAACAUAUUUUCUGACUGCAUGUGUGAGCGUGCAUGCAUAUAUGUCUUAAGUAGUAGAAGAGCACCAAUAAGACAUCUUCAGUUUUACUUAACGUCUCCAAGUUUUGAAUUUUUGUUUCAUUCCAAGACAGCAUGA
Long non-coding RNA from Numida meleagris (helmeted guineafowl), 255 nucleotides. The record is from Ensembl. NCBI's taxonomy places the organism in Eukaryota, Metazoa, Chordata, Aves, Galliformes, Numididae.